AUUGAACGCUGGCGGCAUGCCUUACACAUGCAAGUCGAACGGCAGCACGGGUGCUUGCACCUGGUGGCGAGUGGCGAACGGGUGAGUAAUACAUCGGAACAUGUCCUGUAGUGGGGGAUAGCCCGGCGAAAGCCGGAUUAAUACCGCAUACGAUCCACGGAUGAAAGCGGGGGACCUUCGGGCCUCGCGCUAUAGGGUUGGCCGAUGGCUGAUUAGCUAGUUGGUGGGGUAAAGGCCUACCAAGGCGACGAUCAGUAGCUGGUCUGAGAGGACGACCAGCCACACUGGGACUGAGACACGGCCCAGACUCCUACGGGAGGCAGCAGUGGGGAAUUUUGGACAAUGGGCGAAAGCCUGAUCCAGCAAUGCCGCGGGUGUGAAGAAGGCCUUCGGGUUGUAAAGCACUUUUGUCCGGAAAGAAAUCCUUGGCUCUAAUACAGUCGGGGGAGGACGGUACCGGAAGAAUAAGCACCGGCUAACUACGU
Molecule: ribosomal RNA, 485 nt
Filed under: uncultured bacterium
Lineage: Bacteria
Description: partial 16S ribosomal RNA
Rfam family: Bacterial small subunit ribosomal RNA
Source: RNAcentral